GUACAUCCAAUCUCUCCCUCACAGAAAACUCUCCCUUUUAAAAGCUCUCUCUCUAGAAGGAUUUCUUGAACCUCUAAAGCGACUGCUGUCCGUCGUCCAACAGUCUCCCUGGAGCCUCUGCUCCUGCUUCUGUCGGUGCGAUACUUCUGUUCACUGGAUUUUCUCCUGAACAAAGCCGUAAACACCAUGCCUUUCUCUGUUCACGGAACAGGGCUUUUAAAGCCUUAAAUCUGUGAAACAACAGGAAUAGAGACUCCUCUUAACACCC
Molecule: long non-coding RNA, 268 nt
Filed under: Elaeis guineensis (African oil palm)
Lineage: Eukaryota; Viridiplantae; Streptophyta; Magnoliopsida; Arecales; Arecaceae
Description: long non-coding RNA (EGUI_LNC028946)
Source: RNAcentral